GAUGAACGCUGGCGGCGUGCCUAAUACAUGCCAGUCGAGCGAACAGACGAGGAGCUUGCUCCUCUGACGUUAGCGGCGGACGGGUGAGUAACACGUGGAUAACCUACCUAUAAGACUGGGAUAACUUCGGGAAACCGGAGCUAAUACCGGAUAAUAUAUUGAACCGCAUGGUUCAAUAGUGAAAGACGGUUUUGCUGUCACUUAUAGAUGGAUCCGCGCCGCAUUAGCUAGUUGGUAAGGUAACGGCUUACCAAGGCAACGAUGCGUAGCCGACCUGAGAGGGUGAUCGGCCACACUGGAACGGAGACACGGUCCAGACUCCUACGGGAGGCAGCAGUAGGGAAUCUUCCGCAGUGGGCGAAAGCUUGACGGAGCAACGCCGCGUGAGUGAUGAAGGUCUUCGGACCGUAAAACUCUGUUAUUAGGGAAGAACAAAUGUGUAAGUAACUAUGCACGUCUUGACGGUACCUAAUCAGAAAGCCACGGCUAACUACGUG
This 497-nucleotide ribosomal RNA is filed under the name uncultured bacterium. RNAcentral's name for it is "partial 16S ribosomal RNA". It matches the Rfam family "Bacterial small subunit ribosomal RNA", at positions 28 to 507 of the family's 1533-position model. The record is from RNAcentral.